AUGCCUCGCGCUGCUAUUAAGUCCCAAGCGCUCGUGGAUUUCAUCAACGACUGGACAGAGUUGCAGGCACCAGAGGAUAAACCGGAUAACACAUACUGGACUACUCACUUCGAUGGAUCCAGACAAUUGAAGGGCUCGGGGGCUGGAGUGGUUCUUACUUCCCCUCGAGGUGACAAAUUUUGUUAUGUUCUCCGCUUAAUGUUUCCCUGUACUAACAAUGCAGCUGAGUAUGAAGCCUUGCUCCACGGUCUUCGGAUGGCUAAGGAGAUGAAUUUAAUCCGGGUACGUUGCUUUGGCGACUCGGAUUUAGUGGCUCAGUAG
RNAcentral lists this ribosomal RNA (321 nucleotides) under Triticum aestivum (bread wheat). RNAcentral describes it as "partial small subunit ribosomal RNA". Lineage: Eukaryota; Viridiplantae; Streptophyta; Magnoliopsida; Poales; Poaceae. The record is from RNAcentral.